CCCUUAGAUGUCCUGGGCCGCACGCGUGCUACACUGAUGCAUACAGCGAGCACUUCCCGGCCCCGAAAGGCGGCUGGUAAUCAGCAAUAUGCAUCGUGAUGGGGAUAGUUCUUUGGAAUUCUUGAACUUGAACGAGGAAUGCCUAGUAGGCGCAAGUCAUUACCUUGCGUCGAUUAAGUCCCUGCCCUUUGUACACACCGCCCGUCGCUCCUGCCGAUUCGAGUGAUCCGGUGAACCUUUUGGACCGAGGCAGCUUGCUGUUUUGGAAAAUCAAGUAAACCACGUCACUUAGAGGAAGGAGAAGUCGUANCA
RNAcentral lists this ribosomal RNA (312 nucleotides) under uncultured eukaryote. RNAcentral's name for it is "partial 18S ribosomal RNA". It matches the Rfam family "Eukaryotic small subunit ribosomal RNA", at positions 1470 to 1796 of the family's 1831-position model. The record is from RNAcentral.